Long non-coding RNA from Oreochromis aureus, 563 nucleotides. The record is from Ensembl. Lineage: Eukaryota; Metazoa; Chordata; Actinopteri; Cichliformes; Cichlidae.
GUAGGAGCUGUGUGAGGCUACUAAAGGCAGUGGAUCCCUCAGCAGCUGGAUUACAAAGAGCACAGUCUCAGAUCAACACAGCCCUGCCUUCCAGCACUAUCAGUAGCAGAAGCAGCAGAAACCCCUCAACAGCAACAUUGUACCCAUCAGAGUGAGCUCCUGGAGAGAGGAGAUCUCCUGCAAAGAUGUAACAGCCUCCCCACCUGUUAGAGAGCCCUGCAGUUGGGCAGAUGUACCAGAGGUCCCCCGCACCAGGGCUGAGCCCCCAUGCACCCACCCGCCCACCACCCCUGCGACACAACAACCAGGACCCAAGGCCCCAAGGCCCAGCCAGAGCCUCAGCCCGGGGGCGGAGCACCCCCAGACCCCCAUGCCUCCAUGCCCGUCCCGGACCCACCCUGGGGCAGCCAUACUACCAGGCCAGUAACCAACGUCCGCCAGCACAGACCCUCCCCCAUCUCCGCUGUACGCAGUCACAAGGAAAACACCAUCUAAGAGCCACUAGAGCCCCUAACCAGGUCAUGACCACAACCCCCGCAUUAGGUCCUCCAGGGAAAACGUUC